CCCUUAGAUGUUCUGGGCCGCACGCGCGCUACACUGACGGAGGCAGCGAGCGUGUCCUUCGCCGGCAGGUGCGGGCAAUCUUGCGAGUCUCCGUCGUGCUGGGGAUAGAUGGUUGCAAUUGUCGAUCUUGAACGAGGAAUUCCUAGUAAGCGCGAGUCAUCAGCUCGCGCUGAUUACGUCCCUGCCCUUUGUACACACCGCCCGUCGCUACUACAGAGUGCCCGUGUCCAAGAAACGGUCGGACCUGUGCGGCCUCUCCGGGCGGCCGGAGGGCCGUUACGGGGAAGACCCUUUAUUUGACGCGGGUCGAUGAAGUAAAAGUCGUAACA
Molecule: ribosomal RNA, 329 nt
Filed under: uncultured eukaryote
Lineage: Eukaryota
Description: partial 18S ribosomal RNA
Rfam family: Eukaryotic small subunit ribosomal RNA
Source: RNAcentral